Molecule: long non-coding RNA, 221 nt
Organism: Cavia porcellus (domestic guinea pig)
Lineage: Eukaryota; Metazoa; Chordata; Mammalia; Rodentia; Caviidae
Exons: 2
Source: RefSeq, a predicted model, not a curated record
GUGGGGAUGCAGUUCCUUUUAUCGCUCACUUACAAGUUACAAGUGAUGAGUGAAGACAUGAACAAGACACAGUCAUCCCAGCCGACUCAGCAACAGACCGAAAGAGGAAAGGAAAACUGCAGGGAUCCACAGGGUCUCCCCAUGUAGUUCGGGCUGGCCUUGAUUUCAAGCUCUCUGCCACCCACCACGCCUGGUGCUCUAAUAAACAUGCUUUGAAGCUA